ACAGAUAUGUAAAGUGAAGAAAAAUAUAUUCUUAUAUAUAUAUGUGUGUGUGUGUGUGUGUGUGUGUGUGUUCUUUUUUAUGCACAAGCAGAUUGGCUAUGUGAGUAUCUAAAAUUUAAAC
RNAcentral lists this microRNA precursor (121 nucleotides) under Poecilia formosa (Amazon molly). RNAcentral describes it as "miRNA (ENSPFOG00000021614.1)". Lineage: Eukaryota; Metazoa; Chordata; Actinopteri; Cyprinodontiformes; Poeciliidae. The record is from RNAcentral.